CCUACGGGAGGCAGCAGUGGGGAAUAUUGGGCAAUGGGCGCAAGCCUGACCCAGCAACGCCGCGUGAAGGAAGAAGGCUUUCGGGUUGUAAACUUCUUUUCUCAGGGACGAAGAAAGUGACGGUACCUGAGGAAUAAGCCACGGCUAACUACGUGCCAGCAGCCGCGGUAAUACGUAGGUGGCAAGCGUUAUCCGGAUUUACUGGGUGUAAGGGGCGUGUAGGCGGGAAAGCAAGUCAGAUGUGAAAACCACGGGCUCAACCUGUGGCCUGCAUUUGAAACUGUUUUUCUUGAGUACUGGAGAGGCAGACGGAAUUCCUAGUGUAGCGGUGAAAUGCGUAGAUAUUAGGAGGAACACCAGUGGCGAAGGCGGUCUGCUGGACAGCAACUGACGCUGAGGCACGAAAGCGUGGGGAGCAAACAGGAUUAGAUACCCGUGUAGUC
RNAcentral lists this ribosomal RNA (443 nucleotides) under uncultured bacterium. RNAcentral describes it as "partial 16S ribosomal RNA". It matches the Rfam family "Bacterial small subunit ribosomal RNA", at positions 338 to 795 of the family's 1533-position model. The record is from RNAcentral.